Molecule: unclassified non-coding RNA, 199 nt
Filed under: uncultured Russula
Lineage: Eukaryota; Fungi; Basidiomycota; Agaricomycetes; Russulales; Russulaceae
Description: sequence contains ITS1
Source: RNAcentral
UCGUAUGACGGAGGUGCCGGGGUUGUCGCUAAACUUUGUGCACGCCCCGGUGUCUCUCACAAUCCAUCUCACCCCCUUUUGUGCAUCACCGCGUGGGUGCUCUCCUUUUGGUUGAUUCUGAAAGGAGGCAUUUGCGCUUUUAUAAAGACCCAAUGCAUGUGUAGAAUGUCUUACUGUUUGCAAUGAUACGCAAUCAAUA